CCUACGGGAGGCAGCAGUGGGGAAUAUUGGACAAUGGGCGAAAGCCUGAUCCAGCCAUGCCGCGUGUGUGAAGAAGGCCUUCGGGUUGUAAAGCACUUUCAGUGGGGAAGAAAGCCUUGGGGCUAAUACCCUCGAGGAAGGACAUCACCCACAGAAGAAGCACCGGCUAACUCCGUGCCAGCAGCCGCGGUAAUACGGAGGGUGCGAGCGUUAAUCGGAAUUACUGGGCGUAAAGCGCGCGUAGGCGGUCUGAUAAGCCGGUUGUGAAAGCCCCGGGCUCAACCUGGGAACGGCAUCCGGAACUGUCAGGCUAGAGUGCAGGAGAGGAAGGUAGAAUUCCCGGUGUAGCGGUGAAAUGCGUAGAGAUCGGGAGGAAUACCAGUGGCGAAGGCGGCCUUCUGGACUGACACUGACGCUGAGGUGUGAAAGCGUGGGUAGCAAACAGGAUUAGAUACCCUGGUAGUC
Molecule: ribosomal RNA, 465 nt
Filed under: Vreelandella stevensii
Lineage: Bacteria; Pseudomonadati; Pseudomonadota; Gammaproteobacteria; Oceanospirillales; Halomonadaceae
Description: partial 16S ribosomal RNA
Rfam family: Bacterial small subunit ribosomal RNA
Source: RNAcentral